Molecule: long non-coding RNA, 5423 nt
Filed under: Aquilegia coerulea
Lineage: Eukaryota; Viridiplantae; Streptophyta; Magnoliopsida; Ranunculales; Ranunculaceae
Description: long non-coding RNA (ACOE_LNC000257)
Source: RNAcentral
UUAUGUGCGUAUGUGAUCACCCUAGUGGGAUUCAUUAACAAUUCAUUGGAAUUGUAGUGUGACUAGGGUGGUUGACUCAACUAAAAAGAUGAUUUAAUUUACAACAUAUUCCUGCCAAAGUUAGUUACAAAUUCUCACUUUUUGCGCUUGAAUAGGAAUUCAGCCCCAUGUUACGUUGUUCCAUUUUGAUCUACCUCAAGCACUUGAAGAUGACUAUGGUGGAUGGCUAAGCGAAAAGAUAGUGUGAGUCUCUUUUCUCGUUUUCUUAGCUUUAAUUAUUAUAAUAGAGAUGUGGUUCAUGCCUUGCACGAAAUUACUAUUUACAGUUUAUUGAUGUCAUCUCCUUCAUAAUUGUAUAAUUAUCAUUUGGAAUUUUGGAUAUAGGGAUGAUUUUACAGCAUAUGCAGAUGUAUGCUUUAAAGAAUUUGGCGACAGAGUCUUGCACUGGACCACUAUAAAUGAGCCCAACACGCUCGCCUUGGGAGGUUAUGACCUCGGAAGUCUUCCACCUCAGAGGUGUUCUUAUCCAUAUGGGGCUAAUUGCACAAAAGGCAACUCCACUGUGGAGCCGUAUAUCUACACUCAUAAUAGCUUACUGGCACAUGCUUCAGUAGUAAGAUUGUACCAGAAGAAGUACCAGGUAUUUAAUUGUUGUCUUCAUGUAGAUUUGGUUAAUUGAUAGGAACCAAUUUUGUAGAAGCAGACCUGUUAUUUGUUUGUUGGCUGUUCAUAAUUUGAGAUUGAUGGUAACGAUGUAGGCCAAACAAAAAGGAUUUAUUGGCAUGACUGUCUGUACUUUCGGGUUGGUUCCACUUACAAAUUCUGUGAAAGACUUGAAAGCAACUCAACGAGCUUCUGAUCUUUUAAUGGGUUGGUAAGCCACUGUCUCCUAACAUCAGCAAAGCUAAAACUUCAAAUGGUAUUCUAAGAGAUCUAUAACAGGUUCAUCAAUCCACUGAUGUUUGGAGACUACCCUAAAACCCUUAAGAAGCACGCUGGCUCAAAGAUCCCCACUUUUACCCCACAACAGUCAGAACUAGUAAAAGGCUCUUUUGACAUCCUAGGACUGAAUUACUAUAAGACAGUGCAAAUCGCGGAUGAUUCAAACAGUUUAAAGCUGGAAGAGAGAGAUGCAUACAAAGACAUGGAAGUGAAGCGAAUAGGUAUGCAUAGUUAAUUCUUUUGACAGUAGGAUUUAGUGGUCAGAAAUAUUUCUAUAUUUUGGUUGAAUGUCAUUGACCUCAUAUUUUGUCCGAUCCAGUUAUUCAGGGAAUCGAUAAAUCUUCACAGUAGACUAGUUCUUUGUUGGUCUACAACAUUGCAAUUCUCACACCAUUAUUUUUUAGAAACUGUGUGCCUGAUGUCUAUAACUCAUGAUAGAACUAGAUAUAUGCAUACUUAGAAAACUGUUCUUUUCUGCCAACUUACAAACUUACAUCUGUUGCAGAUAUCUGGAAUGGAGGGUCCUAUGACGAGGUAGGUAUAUAAAUGUUUUCACGUAACACGUGUUUUUAUUUAAAGUGCUAUAUAUGACGUAAAUGGGUUGAUUCAGAUACAAUUGGAUCCUUUGGGUCUGGAAGUAGUGCUGGAGCAUUUCAAGCAAGUUUAUCAAAACCCUCCUAUCCUUAUCCAUGAAAAUGGUAUUAAUUUUCUCCUACUUCUAGUCAUAGGAAGAAUCUGCAUUGAAGUUAGUAUAGGCUCUGCAUUCAGCUCCACUCAUACCAAUUUUAUUACCAUAUAUAUAUAUUUGGUUGAUCAGUACUAUAACAUCACGUAUUAUUGACUUGGUACGUGUUUUAAAAUAUGGUGGCAGGUCAAAGAACUUUACAUAAUGCACCAUUACAUGACACAUCAAGGAUAGAAUAUUUGGCUGGUUUCAUCCAAAGUUUACUCAACGCGAUCAGGUAUUUUGGUUGGUUUUAUUGUGAGAAUCAUUCUUACUUCUUAGUCUCAUAAACAAAUGUGUGGACCUAUUUGAGCUUCGUUUCAUAAAAGUGUUCUACAAAUUCUUUAACAACAUAUAUCUGACGAGGUCAAUCUUAUUGUUUUCAUUUUGAAGGAACGGAUCGAAUGUCCGAGGAUAUUUUUCAUGGUCCUUCUUAGAUCUCUUCGAACUGAUUGAAGGCAAAGAAGCAAGCUAUGGUCUGUAUUAUGUAGAUUUUAAUGACCCAGAUUUGAAGAGACAGCCUAAGCUCUCUGCACAUUGGUACUCUGAUUUUCUUAAGGGAGGAAACAUAAGUUCUGAUGGAAUUAAGAUGUUGGAGAGAAGUAGUACUUCUAGUUUCUCUCAAACCUCCUAUUAUGCUCAGUAGAACACGUACUUCUUUUAUCCAUUUAUGUACAACAUUUUCCACUCUAUUAUUACAAACUAUUAUGUUGAUCCUACAAAACUUGUCUUUCUAUCAACAUUUGGUUCCCCACAAGGAUUGCAUCGAAUAAUGUUCAAUAGUCUUGUUACAUUUUUCUCAUUAAAGUUUAUUCGAGUAACGAGCCUUACCCCUACAAGAAACAAUAGAUUAAUUCCUAGACUUCCUAAACUUCCCAAUUUCAAGUUUAUCUGUAACAUAACAUCCUAUAGCUAUGUUAACUCUGGAGGACCAUCAUUACUUCAAUGGAACAUACACAAAUGACAAAUGGACAUUGCAUUUUCAUACCAAAUACAUAUAGAGAUGGUUUUGCUAAAAAUUGAAUGACAUACAGACAUACAGUACUAAAAUGCCAAUAAUUUCAAUAAAUAUUGACAGACAUAUAUGGGUCCAAAAUAUGGAUAUGGCCUACCCAAUUGCCCUUUGCCCAAGCCAAAAAAGUUCCAAUGGCAAAUGCAUAGACAAUGAUAGUAUGAUACAGUAUAUGAUUCCCUUUCCACCUUUUAAAUCUGUCAAAAAAUAAUUGAGAAUGACAAUGCAUGAAUGAGACGUGAACAAAAUGUACAGUUUAGUGAAUAAUUUUUUUUUAUUACAAAUGGAAAUUUUUGUGUUAUAAACUAGAUCUCACCACUCAAAAUACAAGAAGAUAUGUUUUUGAGGAUUCCUUCCCUUUCUUCUUCUAUUUGUUUACAAUUUUUUCAUCAUGUUGCACUACUAGUAAUAGUAGUGGUGGUGGUUAGUGUUAUUAGUCAUGUUCAUUCAUCAGAGAAUACCCUCACCUUUAGCAGACAAGAUUUCCCACCAAACUUUGUUUUUGGCUCUGGAACCUCAGCUUAUCAGGUCAGUAGUUACAGUUAAGAGUCACUGGAUCUUUUCUUUUCUUUUCUGUACUACUGUCAUGACUCAUGACUAUAUAUGUUCUAUAUGUUUGUUUUGGCUUAAAGUCUUAGAACUCUAGUUGAUUAUAUAUUGAUAAAAUGUGUGUGUGCUAGGUUGAAGGUGCAGCAGCAGAAGAUGGAAGGACACCCAGUGUUUGGGAUACCUUUGCUCACUCUGGUUUGUUUUUCUUCUACUGUACUUGUUUCCAAUUUCUUCUUCUGCUAUAUAAUACUGCAAAAACUAUACCAAAAACUGGAAAUCUUGAUGGAAUCUAUCAAGAAAUACAUGUUAAUGUGUCCAUUAAUUGAUGGGCAUCAAGAACAAAUGUAUGUCUAUCUCCACUUAAUCACUUGAUGGUUCAUAUCCUCUGCCCUUAGAUACCAUCUUCUAAUCCUCAAUCCCCAAUUAGGGAUUUUCUUUGUUGCGUUAUAAUGGGAAUGUUUAAUUUAGGUCACAAUACAUUAUGUCUGCAAGCAUUAGGGGAAUAAGUUGUUUACAGACCUUUAAUUUUUACUUAGUGUUGUUUUUUCUUCUCCAUUUAUAUAAUUGAUUUACACAAAAAAAUACUGUAAUAAAAGUAUAUUAUGUUGGUUCUUAGUUUGAAUUCUCUUAAAGGCGCAACUUUGGCUGCCAACUUACAAAUUAAUGGAAAUUUAUUGCACUCAAAGAACUGAACAAACCUUCUGAAAGAAGGUGAUUUUCAGUUUAUACUUUAUACAAUCCAUUUGGUGUCUCACUUUUCAAAAUUUUGCAUUACAGGCCGUUUGAGGGACAAAAGCAAUGGGGAUGUGGCAUGUGACCAAUAUCACAAAUAUAAGGUGCUAUGAAUUUUGAAUCACAGACAUAAUGUAAUGGGUCGUGGUUUGCUCUUUCUACUCAUAAUCAGCUGUUAAUUACUGUGAAACAUAUUCCCCAAACUAUUUCUAUAACAGGGCUGGAUGAUCAAUGUGCUAAUGGAUUGAAGUUCUGUGAUUGUUUAAGUUUCUUAGUGAAAUCUCUUGCAGGAAGAUGUUCAACUCAUGGUAGAUACAGGGCUGGAAGCCUACAGAUUCUCUAUUUCAUGGUCAAGGAUUAUCCCAAGUAUGAAUAACGGAAUUACAACACAAUUUGCUGAAUGUUUUCUUCUUAAAAAGGAAUGUUAGAAAUGUUUUGAAAGAUGAUAUAUAUGAUACUCUUUUUUUCUAUUUAUUUAGAUGGGAAAGGACCUGUCAACCCAAAGGGCUUACAAUAUUACAACAAUCUUAUUGAUGAACUCAUCAAACAUGGUAAUACCCGACUUUGUUAAGAGAUCUUUAAUUUUUUCCUUAUAAACGAAUAACAUCGACCAUAGGAGCUACAAUAAUCUUUAAAGCAGAUCAAUCAUAACAUGUGGAACAGGAUAGUCUUUAUUUAAUGAACCGAAAGUUUAAAUUAGGGCUGUUCAAAAGCAAGGUAGUUAGUUUGGACUCAACAAAUUUUUAUUCUUCUGACUAGUCAGAUUGCUUGGAAAUGUCAAGUUCUAUGUGUAAGUGGUCACCUAGUGGGAUUCAACAACCAAUUCAUUGGAUUUGUAUUGCUACUAGGGUGGUUGAUUCAACUAAAAAGAUGAUUUACAACAUAUUCCUUGAAAAAGUUAGUUACAGGUUCUCACUUUUUGCGUUUGAAUAGGAAUUCAGCCCUGUGUUACGUUGUGCCAUUUUGAUCUACCUCAAGCACUUGAAGAUGACUAUGGUGGAUGGCUAAGCGAAAAGAUUGUGUCAGUCUCUUUUCUCGUUUUCUUAGCUUAAUUUAUUAUAUUAUUUUGCUAAGAGAUGUGGUGCAUGCUCCACACCAAAUUACUUUUGCAGUUUAAUGAUGUUAUCUCCUUCAUAAUUGUAUAAUUAUCAUUGGAUAUAGGGAUGAUUUUACAGCAUAUGCAGAUGUAUGCUUUAAAGAAUUUGGCGACAGAGUCUCGCACUGGACUACUAUAAAUGAGCCCAAUUCGGUUGCCUUGGGUGGUUAUGACCUUGGAAGUCUUCCACCUCAGAGGUGUUCUUAUCCCUAUGGGGAAAAUUGCACGAAAGGCAACUCCUCUGUGGAGCCAUAUAUCUACACUCAUAAUAGCUUGCUGGCACAUGCUUCAGCUGUAAGAUUGUACCAGAAUAAGUACCAGGUAUUUAAUCAUUGUCUUCAUAAAAUUUGGUUAAUUGAUUGUGAACC